UUGUGUAGUAGUUGGCAUUUCAAGGAAAGCAUAAGUAGUUUGAAGAAGAAGGAGAAAGGGCCAGACCAUGAUAGUCAUGAGCCAAGGUAAGCUUGGUGCUACCUCUUUGUUUCUUUGUUUUUUUAUAGAAGAAGAGUAAUAGAUAAAAUUUGAAUGAUGUAAAGUGAAAUUUUGGAAUGAAAGAAAGAUUUGACUUAGAUGAUGUCAAAUAAAAAAUUAAAUUUAUUAUGUGCUGAAUUAUAAGUAGAAGAUUGAAAAGUUGAUAAUGGGAGAUGUUUGUGAAGUAUGGAUAUAACUGGGAGAAUUAUAAUACAUUGAAGAUUGAGAUUCAAGAAGAAGUCUAUGGAGUCUAGAAUUGUGUGAAGUAGGUUAGUGGAUAUGAUAGUUAAUUUGGAAGAUUUCAGUGAUUGGAUUAUGAAAUAUUUUAUGCAAUCUUUUAAAAUUAUAUAGUAUUACUUAUUAUUUUCAUAAGUUUGGAAAGGAAAGAAUAGUAAAUAUAUAAGAUAGAAUUAUUGA
RNAcentral lists this long non-coding RNA (516 nucleotides) under Physcomitrium patens. Its description in RNAcentral is "long non-coding RNA (PPAT_LNC010094)". Lineage: Eukaryota; Viridiplantae; Streptophyta; Bryopsida; Funariales; Funariaceae. The record is from RNAcentral.